Molecule: ribosomal RNA, 982 nt
Filed under: uncultured soil eukaryote
Lineage: Eukaryota
Description: SSU rRNA
Rfam family: Eukaryotic small subunit ribosomal RNA
Source: RNAcentral
CCUGCCAGUAGUCAUAUGCUUGUCUCAAAGAUUAAGCCAUGCACGUCUAAGAUCGCUAGGGGUGGGCAACCACUUACGAGUAAUCUGCGAAAGGCUCAUUAUAACAGUUACAAACUUGGCUACUAGUUUCCCCACAAGGAUAACACAGCCAAAUGCAGCGAUAAUACUUGAACAAACGUUGGUGAAUUGUAUAGCCAACAAACAGUAGCAACAAAGGAAUGUCUGCUACAUAUCCCCGCAAGGGGUGUUGACCAUAGUAAUGUGGCCUAGAAGAGGUAUUUCUUCCUUAUCAGUUAGUUGUUUCAGUAAGGGUGAAACAAGACUAUUACGGGUACGGGGAAUCAGUGUUCGAUUCCGGAGAGGGAGCCUGAGAAAUGGCUACUACAUCUAAGGAUGGCAGCAGGCGCGAAAAUUACCCAAUCCUAACAUUUUUGGGAGGUAGUGACAAGAAAUAACGACCUUACACGUGACAUAAGUCUGUGGAAGGGUUUCUUUGCAAUGGUUCUAGUUUAAAUCUCUAGGAGAGUAGCGAUUGGAGGACAAGUCUGGUGCCAGCACCCGCGGUAAUUCCAGCUCCAAAAGCAUAUACUAAAAUUGCUGUAGUUAAAACGCUCGUAGUUUAUAAGUAGGCGUACACGCUGUAUCCCUACCCUUAGCCUGUACCUUUUAUGGUCUGGCUCGAGGGAGAUUAACUCGUGAGUGUUCCGACUAUUGAAACCGUGAACAAAUUAAUGUGUUUAAAGCAAGCUUAUGCUUGGCAACAAGUAUCGCUUGAAUAAUUUAGCAUGGAACCCCUUUUUCCCCCGACUGGUAACCCCAGUUGGGGGAUGAGAAAAUAAAAGGUCGGCGGAGGACUCUGGUAUUGUGUGCUUAGAGGUGAAAUUCCGAAAUUUACGCAAGACGAUCGGAGGCGUAGGCUGUCAUUGCCCAUCACACCUUUAUUGAUCAGGAACGAAAGUCAGGGGAUCGAAGAUGAGAAAAU